This 253-nucleotide ribosomal RNA is filed under the name uncultured bacterium. RNAcentral describes it as "partial 16S ribosomal RNA". It matches the Rfam family "Bacterial small subunit ribosomal RNA", at positions 524 to 776 of the family's 1533-position model. The record is from RNAcentral.
UACGUAGGGUGCAAGCGUUGUCCGGAAUUAUUGGGCGUAAAGAGCUCGUAGGCGGUCUGUUGCGUCGGCUGUGAAAACCCGGGGCUCAACUCCGGGCCUGCAGCCGAUACGGGCAGACUAGAGUUCGGCAGGGGAGACUGGAAUUCCUGGUGUAGCGGUGAAAUGCGCAGAUAUCAGGAGGAACACCGAUGGCGAAGGCAGAUCUCUGGGCAUUAACUGACGCUGAGGAGCGAAAGCAUGGGGAGCGAACAGG